RNAcentral lists this ribosomal RNA (494 nucleotides) under uncultured bacterium. Its description in RNAcentral is "partial 16S ribosomal RNA". It matches the Rfam family "Bacterial small subunit ribosomal RNA", at positions 28 to 507 of the family's 1533-position model. The record is from RNAcentral.
GACGAACGCUGGCGGCGUGCUUAACACAUGCAAGUCGAACGGUGAAGCGCCUUCCUUUUUGGUGGGUGUGGAUGAGUGGCGAACGGGUGAGUAACACGUUAGUAACCUGCCCCCUUCUUCUGGAUAACCGCAUGAAAGUUUGGCCAAUACGGGAUAUUCUGGGUCUGUCGCAUGAUGGGUCUGGGAAAGAUAUUGUUUCGGUGGGGGAUGGGCUCGCGGCCUAUCAGCUUGUUGGUGGGGUGAUGGCCUACCAAGGCGGUGACGGGUAGCCGGCCUGAGAGGGUGGACGGUCACACUGGGACUGAGACACGGCCCCGACUCCUACGGGAGGCAGCAGUGAGGAAUAGUGCACAAUGGGAGCAAGCCUGAUGCAGCGACGCCGCGUGAGGGAUGGAGGCCUUCGGGUUGUGAACCUCUUUCGCCAGUGAAGCAGGCCUGCCUCGUUUGUGGGUGGGUUGACGGUAGCUGGAUAAGAAGCGCCGGCUAACUACGUG